CAGUAGCCGCGGUAAUACGUAGGGAGCAAGCGUUGUUCGGAUUUACUGGGCGUAAAGGGCGCGUAGGCGGCGCGGUAAGUCACUUGUGAAAUCUCUGAGCUUAACUCAGAACGGCCAAGCGAUACUGCUGUGCUAGAGUGCGGAAGAGGCAACCGGAAUUCUUGGUGUAGCGGUGAAAUGCGUAGAUAUCAAGAGGAACACCUGAGGCGAAGGCGGGUUGCUGGGCCGACACUGACGCUGAUGCGCGAAAGCCAGAGGAGCAAACGGGAUUAGAUACCCCGGUAGUCCCUGUCUCUUAUAC
RNAcentral lists this ribosomal RNA (301 nucleotides) under uncultured bacterium. RNAcentral's name for it is "partial 16S ribosomal RNA". It matches the Rfam family "Bacterial small subunit ribosomal RNA", at positions 509 to 807 of the family's 1533-position model. The record is from RNAcentral.